This 253-nucleotide ribosomal RNA is filed under the name uncultured bacterium. Its description in RNAcentral is "partial 16S ribosomal RNA". It matches the Rfam family "Bacterial small subunit ribosomal RNA", at positions 524 to 776 of the family's 1533-position model. The record is from RNAcentral.
GACGGAGGAUGCAAGCGUUAUCCGGAAUGAUUGGGCGUAAAGCGUCCGCAGGUGGCAGUUCAAGUCUGCUGUCAAAGACCGGGGCUUAACUUCGGAAAGGCAGUGGAAACUGAACAGCUAGAGUAUGGUAGGGGCAGAGGGAAUUCCUGGUGUAGCGGUGAAAUGCGUAGAGAUCAGGAAGAACAUCGGUGGCGAAGGCGCUCUGCUGGACCAUAACUGACACUCAGGGACGAAAGCUAGGGGAGCGCAUGGG